ACAGACGGUAACAUUAACAUUUUGAUUUUAACAUUAACACUUUAGUUGGAGAGACUAGUUAUGUACUUGUAGUGGUAAUAAUACAAGUUGUCAUGAACCAUAACUGUUUGGGGAUGUUCUCUCAACUAGAUAGUUAGUUAUCAUACCUAGCGAUAGCGUAGUUCGCUAGAUAGAUAGCUAUCUGUAAGCAGCUACAUUGGAGCAGACAUAUGUGUUUUUUUCGGUAUAUUGAUUUGGGAGUGGGGUCUCCCACACUGUUUAAUCCACCGCCGGCACCUUUCCUCCUGUGUUUUGGGCUUUGGAAAUGCGGGGGAAAAACGACGCAUCCCUCUAAUCUCUGUAUCAGAUCUAUAAGUCCCGUAGGCACCCUGUUUCACCAUGCUGCUCAGACCUCAAAGUUGUCGGACCUUCUUCUCUUAGUAGCGGUUGCUAAGGUAUGAUUGGAUGAGGGCCGUUCUAGGGAGGAGUUUCGCGAUCGGUCAAUUCCAUAUGGAAUGCAAGAGCGUGUGAAAUGUAGUUCUCUCCUCACUACUGUUAGAUAUUGGUGUGUUUCACAUACCAGCCCAUAUCAUUAGACUUCCUGACCCUAACCCAUAUCAAUAGACCCCCUGACCCUAACCCUCCGUUUGAAUAACACCAGGGGUCUGGAGCCAGAGCCAUUAGACUGGAUUCCUGGCCUUUGUCUACAGCCAUGACCAGAUAAUAAACAAAACAAGUAAACAAAUAAACAAGAUAGAUAAACAAAACUUAAUUUGCCCCCCUUGUCAAAAGGUCCCGAGUAGCCCACAAACUGUAGUCCUGGCAGUUUUGAAUAAAUAUUAUAUCAUAUUAGACUGAAUGAAUGACCUAACUUAGAGCUCUGUAUAUUAUUUGUAUUCAUUUCAAAUGACUUAUAAGAUCACUGUUGAAAAAAGCACUCAUAUACAUGUACUAAAAAAAUAUAACAUUGCAGUUAUUGUGGAGAUUAUUGUGGUAAACCUGAUUGGGUUCAGUGGCUGAGUAGCCCUGGACUGUGACUCAUUCAGAAUUCAGAUUAAUGAUCCAUGUUUGUGUUCAUUUGAUCAAAGUCAUUAUACAGUGUAGGCCUAUGUCGUGUGUUCCACCAGUGUAGGCCUAUGUCAUGUGUUCCACCAAUGGUGCUGGACAGUGACUGACUUGCUGUUAUGAAAAGGGAAAUAAACCCAGAGAAUUAAAGAACACAGGCAGUGUUUAAUAGUAAGCUAUUAGGAGGAGUAGGCCUAGACGUCCACUAAAAAGCCCAAGAGUCACAGAAACACACGGACAUAUCAGCUUCAUUUCACAUCACACAUAAUUCAGAUGAUGCAUUACCUCUGUCCCUCUGGAGCGUCUCCUGGUGUUUCCAUUGCUCAGCUUCUCUUCAUGGACACACUACUGGCUUCAGUAGAAAUGAGGAAUCAAAACAUUAAUGUAUCAAAAACACAUUACAUUUCCCACAAAUAAAGACACUAGCUGCCUAUCUGUUGAAAGGUAUCUGUGACCAUACCUGCAUAAAAGUCUCGUGAUAUAGGGGUACGCUUCCCUAACUCCCAGCAAAAACUACGGCCGAUAAGAACGUACCUUUAUUUUCUUCUUUUUGAUCUUAGAAAUGAAUGAUUUCAAUAAUAAAAAAAGCACUGUUAAAUAGCACCUCCCCCACUUUCCUGAUUGAUUCCUUGCCUUGACUGCUACCUGCACUACCGAUGUAAUAAUACAUUUAUACUGACACUGACACAAGAUUGGCGCCUGCACUCGCUAAACAUUCUGACAAUGGCUUUUAAAAUACUGAUGAGGAGAUGACAUUUAGAGGAGCAGAAAGGGAGGUCAAGCAGACAUGGUGUUCAGGUUGUUACCUGGUUAAAACAGGUCAAGCAGACAUGGUGUUCAGGUUGUUACCUGGUUAAAACAGGUCAAGCAGACAUGGUGUUCAGGUUGUUACCUGGUUAAAACAGGUCAAGCAGACAUGGUGUUCAGGUUGUUACCUGGUUAAAACAGUCAUACGGCAGUUUGUAAAGAGUUCUCACAGAGAAGCGGUAGGGCUGAAGUGCCAAGUACCAGUGAGAGACUUUGGCAUUGUGGUCAGGGUGCAGGUUUAGUACCCCAUAGUCCUGGGUUCAAGGCCAGGGGUCACAACAUACUUCUUGUCAGCCAUGUUGUACUGUGUGAGGGCCUUUAAGGAUCCCGGGUACAGCAUGCAGCACGUGUCAUAUCCUGCCACCCUCGCUAUUCUUGUGCAACUAAUAUUCCCAUGCCCCAUGUCAGCCAACAUAACGCAUCAAAACUAAACACAUAUCAAAUUCCCAACAUCAAUACAAUUGAGCUAGGAGGGUCUUUACGGAUCCCGGGUACAGCAUGCCGUACGUGUUGCAGCUGUCGCCACUCAGUUGUGCACUGUUGUUGUAUCGUGCCACCCUUGCCAUCCUUGUAGAACUAAAACUGUCAUGCACCAUGCCAAUCAACCAUAACUAAACAUAACUCAUCAAAACUAAACAUAAACAAAAUUCCCAUAGACUGAUACAAUAUCAUUAAAGUGAUAAAUAUUGCAGAAAAUACGAUUAAUCUGACUCCAUUAAAUAUUAAAUUAUCUACAGUAUUACCAAACAGUAUAUACGCCAAUUGAGAGAUCUUAAUUAAGGUAAUGGCAUGGCACACGAGGAGUUAUAUGGUGGUUAAUGUACAGUUAAUUAAUACAAUAAACUGAAUGUACUAUAUAACCCAAAUGAAUAAGUACAACUGUAAAUGAUAGCAAGUUAAUACAUUCAGUAUGUUGGAUACCAAUGAGAACAGAUUCCCUUAAAUUACCAAAUAAACCUGAAUGCAUG
This is a long non-coding RNA of Clupea harengus (Atlantic herring), 2819 nucleotides long. The record is from Ensembl. NCBI's taxonomy places the organism in Eukaryota, Metazoa, Chordata, Actinopteri, Clupeiformes, Clupeidae.